Molecule: microRNA, 22 nt
Filed under: Parasteatoda tepidariorum (common house spider)
Lineage: Eukaryota; Metazoa; Arthropoda; Arachnida; Araneae; Theridiidae
Description: pte-miR-11951a-5p
Source: miRBase by way of RNAcentral
AAAGCUCUUGGGAAAUUAUGUU